This is a non-coding RNA of Curvularia clavata, 101 nucleotides long. The record is from the annotation of a GenBank genome assembly. NCBI's taxonomy places the organism in Eukaryota, Fungi, Ascomycota, Dothideomycetes, Pleosporales, Pleosporaceae.
GGCCUGAUGGUCUAGUGGUAUGAUUGUCGCUUCGGGUUCUACACCUGGAUACAGUGUAUCUGUUCUGUGACAGGCCCCGGGUUCGAAUCCCGGUCAGGCCC